GCGGGCCGCCUGCAGGGCGGGGGCGGAAGAGGCGCGCGCGGCCUGCCAAUUUUGUGACGUCACGGAGGUCAGACAAUCCCUUCCAUUCGGAGCCCGCCGCCCGUUGGCUCCUGAUGCCUGGCCACGUGACCGCGCUCGCGGGCAAGUGGAAGGUGGACCUGAGCUGGGCUUGGUGGAUGCUCCCGUGGGGCGGAGGUGGCGAUGACUGUGCUGGCCGCUAGCCGGGGAGGGAGGAAGCUCUGGGUUGGUCCCAGCGUCUCUGUGCGCGUGGGGCGCCGGGGACUGGCUGUUUCCCCAGCAGGCGAGCUUCCGCGAAUCCCUGGCGCCUCGGUGGGGGACUCUGGAGCGCUAGGUCGGCCUGACCGCAGGUCUGUGCUUGCUGCCCCGGCUAGACUGCGGAGCGACCAGGCUUCCCGCAGUCCCUCCCAGCCUGUGAUGGAAAGCGCGAAUGAAUUUCGAGUUUGUCUCUUGCUUCAUUCAUUCACCACAAGUUGUAGAUGAAAGCAUGAGUCGGGUGUUUUCUAUCUUUUGGGGGAGGGCGCAUCUCAGUCCCAGGGAGAGGCAGCUGGUCUGAACAGCUUCAAGGGGCAACUUUGAUGAAAGAGUUGUUUCCCAUGUAGAACAGGUGUAUGGUCUCCUCCCUUGAAGGACUUUGAAAUGAGUUUCGUCUGUCUCAUUUGUCUUAAUUGGUUGCAAGGGAAAGGAGUAGGAUGCAUCUUGCAAAAGUGAAAAGAGCCCUUGCAGUGAUUCUCAGUGAUGGAUGCAUUUCCCUGCCAUGAGACUCAGCUUCUUCGUGUGAGCUCAAGUUAGGCUUAGGUUUGUCAUUGGCCUUGCAUGUGACACUUAUGGCACUUCACGUACCUCCAUUCAGGCUUAAUGAGACAAUGGCUUCUAAAAACUGCUUUACUUCCUGCCAUUCAUUUACAGAUCCCUACUUGUGUGAUACUGUCUUCUAAAAGUUUCCUUGGAGGUAUCAGGUAUCAGGAUCACUGCACUUCUCCUACCUAAUGUUAACCAACAAGUUGACCUUGAUUUAUAAUCUUUAGCACUUUACAAACCCAUAAAUUUUCCCAGGUUUUGUAGACUUGAUUGUCAUGUUAGCGAUACUGUGCAGUUCUGUUAAUUCUAUCUGAUUUUUGUAAGAAAGGAAAAAUUCUAUGUAUCCAAACUAUUUAUUUAGAAAUCCUGAGUCUUUCAAGCUGCCUCUUCUAUCCUAUAAGUACUUUAGUCUUUUUGUUAUCCUCGGGAAAUUCGUGGUUAGUAUUCUGGCCUUCACUCACUUUACAUAGGUCCAUCAGACCCAUCCCACCCUCAGUUUUGCUUAUCAAAUGAGCUUCUUAUAAAUUUGCAAGUACCUUUCAUUGUUUUUCAUUUGCUAUUAUCUCAUUUGUUUUAUCUGGUUUUUAAUUUUCCCCUUGGCUUAUCGAGGCAACAUAAGGUGUGGCAUAGUAACUACGGACCUAGCUGGAAUCUGACCGCCUUCGAUUUAUCUCUGCAGCCUGCUGUAUGGUUUUGGACAGCCUCUACUGUGCCUCAGUUCUCUCAUAUGUGAGAUAAAAAAUAAAAGUAGGAAUAACUCAAAAGGUUGUAUUGAGUUGACAUAUAUACAAACAUACACACACAUCUUGCUAACAAAGGUAUGACUUUUAAAGACAUGUCAGGUCAGUGUUUUCGAUUAAGAACUUCAGAAUAGGAGACCCAUAUCCUAAAGGACAGUAUAUUCUAUAGCUAUAGUUGUUGUUUGUUUUUGUUUUGAGACAGGGUUUCACUAUGCAGUUCAGGCUGGCGCUCGUACUCACUACAUGGCCUGGGCUGGUUUUCAACUCUGAGCAGUCCUGCCUCAGGCUCCUGAGUACUGGGAUUACAGGUACCACCACUUCUGUCUUUAAAACUAGUGUUAUUAAUUGAAUAAGAGUCUUGGAACCUUGGGAUGUCACUUUAAAUUACAUGACUCUCACUACCUGUGAGGCCCUACUUCAUAAGCAUCGAGACCAGUUAACUGAGGCUAAGUGGAUUGUUAAGAGUUCUUGCCUGAGUGUGUACCAAAGAAGUUGCUAGUAGACUUUUCUGUUGUCUAUAAAUGUUUUCCUAACAGUUAUCAAUAUAGUAAUGGUCUCCAGAACCUACAUAUCCAUAGGAGAUAACCUCUUCAAAGCUAUCACCUUGGUAGCAUACACCCUUGUUCAGAGCUCUUUUAAAGUUCUCUUUUCAAAUUGUUUUCAUAUCUGCAAAGGUAACUCCAACUUGUACUAUAAUCAACUUUUUCAUUUUAUAGCAGAAUAGUAUUGAUUGUCCCAUCUUAUUAUUCUUAGUUCUGAAUGAUCUAGCUAUUUCUUAAAAUAAUACCAACCUCAUAUUUGCCACCACUAAAUAUAGCCAAAAGAAUUUGUCAUCAAGAUUGAAUGCCAAAGUAUUUCUGGAAUCAGAAUAAAACCUCUCCAAGGUGGUGGAUUUGAAAUAAUCUUAUUUAGAGGUGCAAGUUUUGUUCUCUAGUUGUAAAGUUAUAUAAUUCAGUGCGUGCUGUAAAUAAAGUUCCAGCUCUUCCACAGAGUUACCGAUUGCUGGUACACUAGCAGAGGUUCCUUUGCAGCCCACUUUGACUUCCCUCUGGCAUGGCCGUGUUCCUGUUUCUAGAUGGACUUCCAUGUGGCCACCCAAGGCACUUUGAAAGCCUUAUUCAUCUAGCUAAGGCCAAGGCCGUUCUUGAGUUUACUGUUCUGACCUCACAGAUUGUUUUAGCCACCAAACACCUGUUGAUACAUCAUCAUUGGAAAGCGUUGAAAAGUAGCAUUGAAACAACCUAAGAUUGCUGUAGAGAGGGGGCAGGCGAGGAGGGAGAAGGGGCCUUCAAAAAUAGUGUGAUACAAAGACAGCACUAGGAAAAAUACUGCUUUGUCUACACACAUGCUUUCUGUGAUACUAAAAACUGUGAGACAGUUCCUGGCUGUGACCCUUAACGUUUAGUCAUUCUCUUAACAAACAUAGAAAUGAGAAAAUGCUUGAGCAGAUUGGCCUGCUGGUGUGGGAGGAUGAAUAGCUUCUUGGGGAUAUUGGAGGUUAGCUUGGGAAGUGCACAGAUGAUCCAGUAGCUUCAGUGAUGCCAGCCAGGAAGCUUAAAAUAGAUCUGUAAGUGGGACUGAGAUGCUAUUAGUGUGCUGGUUGCUGACUUACUGUGGCCUUUGCCAAAAUCGGCAAUCAGAAGGAAGAGAGGCUAGUUUGCCACAUUUCUCCUUACCUUCUGUUUUCCUAUUGGUCUCAACUAGAAUAUCAGUGAGCAGUUAGUAAGCAAACCAUCCGUGUUGAGUUGCUUCUUUAAAGUUUAUUUACUUGGAACAAUGCUGUAAAAUUGACAAGUUAUUUACAUGGAAAAGGCAGAACAUGUUAUUGUGGUUUCCUUCAGACCAGAGGCUGUUCGAGGAGCUUUCACGUUGUCUAAAUUUAUAUUUGAAAUCUGUUAUCAGAUUUCAAAAGUCCGUAGACAACUGAAGGGGAAAAUAAGUCAAACUUCAUUGUCUCGCAAAAUUAGGGAAAGAAUCCUUUUGGCUGGUAGAGAGUUUCUGUUUAUUCAUUGACAUGACAAAAAAUAAGAAAAGUAGGUAUCUAGGGUGGCUUAAUAAUAAAAGUUCAAGUCCUUUUAGUAAGAAGAAUGAGUAUCUGUGGAUCUGAGAGUGGUACCUGCUGGUGCUUGUGGACUUACUUAUGAUGGUAAGUAACUUACGAUGAAAAUGUAUUGAGUACCCCUAAAUCUACUGAACCUUCUAACUUGCUAACAUCAUGCAUUGAGUAUAAUUGUUUCGCCUUGUGAUCAUGCAGCUCACAGAGCCUCAUCAUGCUGUCAUUGAGCCCCACUGAAAGAGAAUAUCAUACCCCAGAACCUUAGUCCAAACAGAGGUCAAAAUCCCAAAUUUAAAUAUGGUGUCUGCUAAAUCAUAUCAAUUCACACCAUCAUAAAAUUUAAAAAUCAUACACUGGACAAUCAUAAGGGAUCAUCAGGAUUUCAAAAGUCCCUGUUAAUGAGGAUAUCUUCAAAAAUAAGAAUGGCACGUGUAAGUGUGGGAGGGGGAUGAAGAGGGCUUGGUAUUAUGGUGUUGCCAUCAGGCAAUCUGGCAAGGUUUUCAUUCCAUAUAAUUCUGUAGAUUCAUUCCCUGAAACACAGGGUAGAAGUGAGGGAAGGGCUCCAGGGUAGCUGAGACUUUGGGGACUGUCUAGAUUGGGGUGUAUUUACAAUAGAUGCAAGGUCGUGAGCGCCUCUGAAGCAGGUCCUGCCAAUCUGUAAACUCCAUCAGGAGUCCUCAAGCCAUGACCUCAGAAAUAGUAGCUGCUUAUACUUCUUCAAAGUGACAGCUCUUUGCUUAACAGAGUAUAAGAUGUUCGAGGACAAGAACCAUGACUCUUUUGUAUACCAACGUGUAUCAGGUAGUAAGUGUUUCCUUUAUGCCAUCUCCAUUCUGAGUGCAUUGCCUCAGUGCAAGAUAGGUAUUAUCCUUAUGUCCAUUUCACAGGAGAGAAAACUGAGUCUCAGUAGGGGCAAAUUGCCCAGGAUUAUAUAAAUCACAAGGGAGAGGACUGUCUACCCCCAGAGCUUACCCUCUAAGGCACUAUGCCAUAGUGACCACUACACAGCAAGUGUUUGGUAAUGAAUAAGUGAACUCAAUUGAAAUGAAGAAAAAUGGAGCAUACUGCCACAGGUGAAUGCACUGAGAAUAUUUCAUGAAUGAAUGUAUGGAUGAAUAAACGUCACCUUUUCAAAAGAUGUGAUGUGACUCAUGUAAUUAUACAUUCAUGGAACUACAGAAUAUCACAUUUUCAUCAUGGAUUUGAGGCAAACUACAUCGUUAAAUUUCAGGAUUUCUACCCAGGCUUAUUGUGUCUGUAACCAGCAAUACAAUUUGAAUAGCUAAGUGUACCACUGCUUGACUAAUUCUUGUGAGAACGUGCCAAGGUUCAGUUCUGGUUUCUCAGGAGAACCAGUUAUUGCUCUAAAAGCACACUUUCCUCCGAUACCAGAUGUUAUUUAUAGAUAAAUAUCUAAUGUAUUCAAUUACAUUCUACUGAUAAACUGUAGUUCAUUUUAUUAUAUGGAGUUAAAAAUCUGCCAAAACCUUUAAAUUAUUGUUCAACUUAAAAUGCUUUUAUUUUUAAGCAAUAUCAACUGGAGAGAAAACGUUUGUGGGGAAAGAAAUGACAAAGGGGAACAUUAACAAUAGCAAGCCAAGCCUGGUGGCAUAUGCCUAUAAUUUUAGUACUUGGGAGACUGAAGCAGGAGGAUUGUUGAGAGGCCAGCCUGGGCUACAAAGUGAAUUGAAGGCCAGCCUAAACUGCAUAGCAGAACGCUGUCUCAGACAAAAAAGUAAAUAAAUAAAAAUUUAAAAAUUACCCAGUAACUUCACCUUUUUUAAAUCUAAGGUGUGAUUAAGGAUUAGGGGUAAGGUGACUGAAAAUGCCAGAUGAUGGAUGGCAAGCCAUACCAAGUGUUAGGUCUUUUUGGUUUUCUAUUAUUGUUGUAAUAGUUACCACAAUGGAAGUGUCUUGAGAAAACACACAUAUUAGCUUUGGGUUUUGUAGAUCAGAAGUCUGACUUGGGUCUCAGUGGGCUGGAGUGAUGUCAGCAGGGAUGUGUCCCUUCUGGAAACACCAGAGGAGAAUCUGUUUUCUUUUACCAUUCUCGACAGUGGCCAUCAUUCUUUCUUUUGGUUUGGUUUCUUUUGGGGGAGGGGUUGUUUGUUUGUUUCUUGGCUUUUUGAAUCAGGGUCUUACUAUGUAGAUCAGGCUGGCCCUGAACUCACUUUGCAGCCCAGCCCAGGCCUUGAAUUUGCAGCCACCCUCCUGCCUCAGCCUCCCAAGUUCUGAGAUUACAGGCAUGCACCACCCUGCCUGGCUUUGCAUGACUCCUUUCUCUAAUCUACAGUGAGCAGAAUGAUGUCUUCAAAGCAUACUCAGACUCUAACUUCUGCCUUGCUUUAUAACAGAACCUUCUGAUUAGUUUCAGCCUGCUGUUAGAGUCUGGGAUAGUCUCUUUAAAAUGGACUGGUUAGAAACUUUGAAUUCACAUGUACCUUGAAUUCUCCUUUGCCAUAAUCACAGGUUUUGGGAAUUAUGGUUUUGGGCAUAUUUUUUUAGGGGGAACCACAGUGCUUUUCUCUCUUUGGUAUUCAUUCAUUUAUAACUUAAGAAAACACAUAGUGAAAAUAAAUAUUCUUAUCCUCAAGAAGCCUGAUAUUUAGGCAGAGAGCUUAAAAAUGAAAAUCCAAAAAUGACCAGCAGUACAGGCUGGAAUGUACCAAUAUUCAGUGCAAGGCAUUCAAAUUUAUGUUAUAGGAUUUGUGGGAGGAAUUACUUGGGCUUAUGCGAGAGAAAAAGAGCUCACUGGAAUUUGUUGGGUAGCAGUAUGAAAUGAGUGACCAUUAACACCUCAUUUCUUUGUAGUCUUAUCUUUCAAAAGCCUAGGCAUGUGGCAUGGGCCUGUAAUCCCAGUUCUGCUCCACAGACUGAGGCAGUAGAAUCCCAAGAGCAGAGGCUAGCUUGUGCAAGUAAGCAAGACUCUGCUCAAUGCAUAGAUGCUGCAUACAAACACACAAACAUACAAGUUGGGCAGAAAGCUUAGUGCUUCCUGUGGUCACUCACCACGACCGCGUGGGGAUGAGGGCUGUGGAGGUCAUGGCCUCCCUCUGUUUGCCUUGGUGAUUCUCACCAUACUUUGAAAUAAAAAAAAAUUUGCAGUGUGGCCAGAGGAAGGCUGCCAGCAGGGUGAAAAGUUUAAUAAUAGCAUAUGUGAAAUUUAGGGAUAUUCGCGAUAUGGCCUUCAAAUACUUCGAUGACAGUCAUAUGAAAAGAAAGCCAGACAUAUCUGAAAAGCCUGGAGUUUGAAAAAUGUGAGAAUAAAUGUGUGGAAGUUAAAUGUAAGCUCAAAAUGGUAACUUUAUGUGGCUAUCAUUUUCUGGAAACAGGAUUAGUUAUCCAUUGAGAUAAUGCAUUUCCCGUUACUGGAGGCAUUCAUGCAGACUCUGCACAGCAAAUGACAAGGAAAUAUGCUCCCAAAGGCCUUUGUGUGUGGAGCAUUACAUGUACACUAUGAUCAUCCUAAUGCCAGUUUCUUUGUAUCCCUUGUGCCCUUUUUCUGGGUUGAACCUACCAAACUCAUUUUUAACUUAAAAUGUGCCUACUAAGUGUGGGUGGGGUGAGGGGAUGCAGUUGGAGCUGGGGCAGUGUGACCCUCUGUAAGACUCAGUUAAUUCUGUGAGCAGGAACCCAAGCUUGGUUUAGAGAAGGAGACUGACUCCAGUGAACAGGGUAACGGUGGUGCCUCCCAGGUGGGGAGCAGAGUGCAGAGGCUCAAAGAGAGACAUUAUUAAAACAGCCAAGACUUGGUGGUGAGGUAAAUGAGAAACCAUGAGAAGGGAGGUUGUUACAGCUUCAUGCAUGGGUGGCUGCGAGUUUAUUAUUGUUGCAGAAGUGAAUUGGAAAAAUAAUGAGACUGGCCGGAAUUUUCCAAAAUCGCUUCCAUUAAGUUUAUCAUAGAGAGGAGGCUGUUUUAAUAUUUGUGAACAUAGAAAGUCAUGUGUGAACGGUGAACUAUUUUUAGAAUUGCACCAUGGUACUUACUGGCAGGACCUCACACUGAGCGGACAGAGUUGUCACCAGCCCUGUCGUCUGAGUGCGGCGGUGUGCUUGGGUGCUACACAUUGUAGGUGUCAACCCAGACGCGAGAAGCAGCAGCUUGAAUUCCACGCUGUGUGUGCUUUAGGGAGCAUCCUGGGGAAAUUCCCAUCCGUGGGAACACCACAGAUAAUUCUAUGUCUCUAAAAUAACUGGAAUUUUUCAAAAACGUGAACUCUGAGCUGAAAAAAUAAUCUACCUGUGUCUUUGUGAGUGUGAAAGGAAGUGGUAAGAGGUAUUCCUCAAAAUUUCAAAGACAGAAUUAUGUCCCAGGUAUAGAGUUUGUGUAAUGUAUUAUUUCUUAAUCUCUUUCCUGUUUCUGGCUUUCUAAGUUGCUCUUCUGUUCUAUUUCUCUUUUAAUUUAUGCUGUGUUAAGUUUUAUCUAUCUCUGAAGGUAGCCAUAAAUUCAUUUUGGAGCCAAGGAAGGUAAGUACAAAUGGAUCUCUUUUUAUAUUAGUCCCUGCAUUACAGAUGAAGAAGCAGAGGCUCAAUCUAUCUAACUCACCCAAGAUCACAGUCAGUGUGCUUUCUACUGCUGGAUAAUAAAUCACUCCCCAAAUUAGCUUGAAGCAACAAGCAUUUACCUCGCUCAGCUUCUGAGGAUUAGAAAUGGGAGUAAAUUAGCAGGGUGGUCCUAGCUGAGGAGCUUGUGAGGUUGCUGUCAGUGGUCAGAUAGGACUUCAGUCGCCUGGGGCUGGGGAAUGGCCUUCCGUUUCCUUCACAGGACAGUUGGCAGAACAUUUCCAUUCCUUGCUGCCUACCUUUCUCUAUAGGGCUGCUCAUGACAUAACAGCUGACUUUCCCCAGAAUGAGUGGCCCUAGAGAGAGAAAGAGUGACCCAGACAGAAGCUAUGAGGUGGACGUAUAAUCUUGAUAGUCACAAAGUCACUUCCCAGGCAUGCUGGCACUUGGGAGGUUGAAACAGGAGGAUCCUGGCAAGUUCAAGACCAGUCUAGGCUAUGUAGCGAGUUUGAAGCAUCCCUGGACUAUAUAGUGUGAUGCUGUCUCAAAAAACAAAACAAAACAACAGCAACAAAGUCACUUCUACAACAUUCUUUUGGUCACAUCAACUGUAGGAAACUGGGAGAGAGGUCACAAAUAUGAAUUCCAGCAGUACAAAGCACUGAAGGCUGUCUUGGAGUCUGCCAGCCACGGUGAAUAAAUAAAUGAGGAGCUGAGCCUGCAUGAUGCCACUGGCUUGGGAUACAAAGGCUUUGGAUUCAAGCACGCUCCAGGUUGACACCCAGAGCUGAUUCAAUUCCUUUCAUGCUGAGGGUGAACACCAGCAAAUGUAAUGAUCUGUGUCUCCAGGUUCUCCUCCUGCUUACAAUUGGCAUCGCUACCACAAUUUCACUGUAAACUUUUGUAGCCUCAAAACUCAACGCUUCUAAAGGUAAAUCCAAGUCUGAACCUUAAGCCAGCAAGAAGCAUUUGACAUUUUGGAUACCACUAAGGACUUAAAAGGAUAAAGCUGAGUAUACUUACAUGCUCAGAGCUGGUAGCACCAGGAACAGUUGAUUAUAAUUUUACUUCCCUGUACUUUUUCAAGGUUAUAGGAAAGGUUUUGGUGAUCCCACCCCUCUUAAAGGGUAAUUGCUAAUGUUAGGAGAAAACCCAUAAAGAUAAUUUUAUGGAACGUAUUUUUACUGCACUGCUGAACACUAGCCAGAUUUUGUCAUGGAAAUAAAUCAGAGAAUAUUGUUUUCUUGGUUUCAGGAAAUUGCUGGGCUCAAUGUUCAGUUUUCAGCCCACAAAUCCAUGACUCACCAACAAACAACUUGGAUAAAUGAGCACUGAGAUCUCAUUUGGUGCUGGCUGCUACCUUACCUUUGACAAUUCUUACUCUACUCUGCUGGGAAUUCCAUUUGCAUUUGAAGUAUGUAUACACUGAUGUUGCUACGUGUUUAAAUACCUGCCCAAGCCAAUUUCUUAGCUGAGAUUGCUUCUCUAAACAAUGGUGCUGACUGUUUAUUACAACUUCAGUUAAAUUCACAAGCCACUGCUGUGUACCGGUAGCAUUUAAAUAAUGUUUUAACGUUAUUUAUUUUUUUACAUCUCCAGGACUUCCUUCAAUGGAGGGCCUUGUGAUAUGUUCAUUUGCAAAUAUGUUGAUCUAUUUUGUCUAGGGAGAGAAUCCUUUCUUUUGUGUUUGACUGACUUGUGUGUGCAAUAAUUUGAUAAAGACUUUUAGAAUUUUUUUUUUUUGUGUGUGUGUGUUCUAGACUUUGCUACAUUCUGCAAGUGGAGAAAAGAGUGAUACUCAACUUUUGUGCCUUUAAAACUUGCAGUAUAUCUGCUAGAUAUCUGCAGGAAUAUUAUGAAAGUGUGAAGUACCAGAAGUAUUCACAAAAUGCUUGGGAGAGAGAGAAAAAAGAAUUAUUUCUGCUUGGUAGUGGAGGAGUAAAAUGUCAGGAAAGACUUUCUCUUAGCUCAGGAAUGAUUUUCUUUUAAAAAUAAAAAUUCUAUAAGCUGACUUCAUGAUUUUUAAAAAUUAUUUUUCCUUAAAUUAGGGCACUUCCAUGUAUUUUCUGUUACGUUGUCCUAUGCUAUAUGAAGUAAUGAUGAUAAUAUGUGUGUUUUCUUUAAUUGUGAAACGAAAUGUGACAGUCUCCCCUCAGCCUGCAUUUGUGUGCCUUCACUCAUUUAGUGGUGGCCUAAGGGCACAGGAUUGGGAGGCUGUCUGUGAAUGACUGCACGUGGGAUGGAAUUGGAGAAAGGGGCUCCUACUGCUGGCCUCCAGCUGUUUCACUACAUCUGUCUUAAGGGAAAAUUAAGAAAGCAAAACUGUAUGCUUGCUUUUUUACAACUGUUGCUGAGUAUUUUUCUUGCACGUGUCUGGGAGAGUGUGGGGGAGAGGUGAGAAGCAGGAGAGAAAACCUGUGCCCACGGUGAUGGAGCAAGCACAGUUGCCAUCAUGGAAACUGGUGUGGGGGAGGAUUUUCCCACCGUAAAAUCUUACAUAGCUUAGAGUUGGAAAACUUUCACGUUUCUAUAUGUUGGGUUAAAAUAAAGAAUAUUUGUGUGUAGAGUCCGCCACUUGCCAUGUUUUCAAAAGGCAGAUGGAUAAAGCCUUUGGGUCUGUGUAUCUAAUAAGCCAGCAGUAAUUCCCUUUUUUCAGUACUGGGGAUUAAGCUUGGGGUCUUCACACUACAUCCCCGGUCCCUUCCUCCACCAUCACCAUCUUUAUUUUGAGACAGGGUCUCACGGAGUCACUGAAUUGCCCGCGCUAGGCUAGAACUAGCACUCCUCACACCUCAGCCUCCCAGUGUGCUGUGGCGACAGGCAAGCACCUGCACACCUGGCUGGCAGUGACAGAAUCUUUAACUCCUCUCUGCUGACUGCCUCUGCUCAUUCGGUGUCCUCAUUCAGCUCAUAUGCAGUAGCAAAGCUUUCUGUCCACGUGUGUGUGGCUCUGCCUCCAGAAUUGAACUACAUCUGUAAUUUUAGGGAACGUGUCAUCUUUGAAGAAGGAUUCAAGGAGAACCACAAAGACUAUAUUGAAAGAUUGAAUAAUAUCAAAAAGAUGUUUAAGAAGAGUAUAGGUACUCCUUUAUCUGAAUUCUGGGGGUGGUGACCUUACAGGAACUUAAUCUGCCUCAAAUUCUUUUCUAACACAAGCACUUUCAGAAAUGAUCAAACAGUUCCUUGAAGACUGGCCAAAUAAUUUUACAUAACAGGCUUCCUCUCAACCAUGCACUUGGAUGGUAACCCUUGCAGGGUCACACAAGAGGGCUGGGAGGUCACACAUGCUCAUUCAAAUCUCCCUCUGCUUCAGCUGGGCACGGUGGUGCACAUCUGUAAUCCCAGCACUUUAGGAGGCUGAAGCAGGAGGAUGGAAAGUUCAAGCCCAGCUUGGGAAACUUAGUGAGACCCUGCCUUAAAAUAAAAAUAAGGUGCUGGGGAUGUGGGUCAGUGCAAAGGCUUUGCAUUUGGUCCCCAGUGCCACCAAAAUCAAUCAAUCAAAAUCAAUCAAUACUUGAUCCACCUGGUCCUACUGUCAAGGAAGAGCCUUAUUAAGCCUCCGUUUCCUGCUCACUGUGGUGCAGAUGAUAGUUCUUACUUCACGAGACACUUGUAAGCAGAAGUAAUACGCAUGAGGUAAGCACAAACUUCACCUCUUAUACUUUACUUUGUAUUAUUGCUGUUUCCUUCUGAAAGCAGUGCCCUCCCCCUGCUCUUCUUGCUUCUGUUGUUUACUGACUCAUCUUUGAAUCUGGAGGCCCCCAAUUCCUGAGGACUAGUUGUUCUUUCAAGUUCCUUGAAACCAAAGCUCCUGGAUAGAAAUUUUAAAAUGUGCUGAUACAUAUUUAUAGAGCAGCAGGUCAUUUAUUUUGAUUAGCAGUUAUAUUGAAGCAAAUUAACCAAAAUUUUCUAUCACAAUAUUUCUAGACAAAGAGAAAUAAUGUUAAAUAUUUAUGCAAAUGUGAAAUUCUAUCAAUAACCCUCAUACUUCCCUUGCUUCAUGACCUUUAGCAGCUCAGCAGUGAAAAUAUUGAGAGGAGAUCAACCCACCUGUGCUGACGGCUGUCUUUCUUGCUUCCUGCUUUGGAACAAUACAGAUCUGACACCCAGGAGCACAGUCCUAACCUAUCUGGCACACAGAUGUGUCCUGAAGCCUCUUUGCCCUGUAGUAACCAGCUGAGCUGUCGAACAUUGAAAGAGAACUAAGAAGAUCUUUUUAUUCGCUAUCAGGCCCUCUUGAGAAGCAUAUUUUGUUACUAAAUAAAAAGGAAGAGACGAACAUUGAGGUUACAUCUCCUGUUUGGAAAGUUCAGGGGAAAGUUGAGUUGACCUAAUCUCUAUCAGCUGCUUUUAGUCAUUAAUUCACUCAACCAGUAACUAUUGGAUACUCAAUGUGUACUAGGCAUUGUUCUGGACACUGGAGAUAAAACAGGACAAAGAUUGUUCUCAUGGAAUCUGUAAUCUGGUGGAAAAAAAGACAGAAAGAAUUCCACAGUGACUGGGCCUUCUGAUGGCAACGGGAUGCCCUGAGGGGGAUGUUGGGGUUUCAAAGCAAAUUUUACUAAAGGUUAGCAAGUUUGGAUGAGACCCAGACUUGGAUAAUAUUGCAAUGCCUGGGAAGCCAUGAGAAUGACUUUCACAUUUCCGUAAAGGAGGCUCUCAAAUAGACGUGGGGGAGGCGAAGGAGUUGCUGAACCAAAGUGAAUACUGAGGUCCCUUCAGCUCUCUCAUAUUCAAGCUUGGGAGAAGAAUCAUGUGAAGUAAAAGUUUGCAAGAACCACACAACUCAAGAAGGGGGCUGCCACGGAGGCACAGAACACAGCAAAGAGGGUGCGAUGAGAUAGGUGCCUGUGAUCGUCAACAGUAGUUCUUAUGGGUCGUGUAUUGUGUGGGGGAUUCACAAUGUAAAAGCAAGGGGAAGAGAAGACAUGGUUUUCAAUUAAGAAUUUAAAGUAUAUGUUAUGCUCAUCAAAUCAUAUAAUUUCAGCAUCAGAAGACCUUAUUUCUUAUUAUGGAUGCUUAUUCCUGUCAAUCCUAUGGUCCCUGCAGAUUCUUAUUCAAUCGAUGACACAUUUCCUCUUCUGUUCUUCCAUCACUGUAUCAGUUAUCUGUUGUUGCAUAACAACUCAGCCUAAAACCUGAGUGGCUUAACACAGUAGCCAUCGAGUAGCUCUUGAUUCUGGGUUCUGAAGUUUGCACUGAGCUCAGCUAUGUGGUUCUGCUAGACCCGCCUGCCCUUACUCAUGGGGCUAUAGCCCAGCUAAUGGAUGGACCAGUCAGACACUGGGUCAGCAUGGAUGACCACACUCACACAGUUGGUGUUGGCUUCUAAUGGAGAAACCUAUGUGUCUGCAGUACCCCGCGGGUUGCUGCAGGCUUUUCACUGGCUACUGAGUUCCAAAAGAAGCAAGUGACAGCUCCCUGUGCACAACUCUUCCCAAAUUUGUUUGUGUCACAUUUGCUAGUGUGUCAUUGGCCAAAGCAAAUGACAUAACCAAAUUCACAUGCAAGGAAAUAAAGACAUAAGAUUCUAUCUCUUAGUGAAAAAGGACAGUAGCAUAAAUUAAAGUAUACAUUUUUAAAAAGGAAACUAGAGUCCCAUUCCAAUAGCUUCACCCAGAUUCUCCCUACUAUCCCAUCUUGCCUGAAAAGACAGAUAUCGGAAGACCAGUCAUGGGCCUAGCUACGCGAAGACCAGAAAUUCCCAGGAAAAUGUGAAUUCAUCCUAAGAAAAGAAAGUCACUAGACUGUUCAAGAACAUGGAGUCAGUGGUUAGGACUGGGAUUAUCUCAGAAUAGCCCUGACUGCCCCAUAGAGAGCUCAGCCCUGCCCCUGUCAAAUGCGUCCAACGCUUAAGGAAAAGAGGCCACAAUAAAAGGAUAAAAAUAGGGUUUUAGGGAAGUUUCUAUGAAAAAUACAGUGACGUAGAGCGUGAAUGGAGCAUUCCUCAUUUUGGAUGUCUCAGCACUCAGGAGGGGCUGUACUGAGGCUAAGUCUUGACCAGAGGUGACCUGGCGCCUGAGGCAGCCUUCGGCCUUUGCUGGAAGGAAGGGAGGAAUUCUUCCUUUCACCUCUGAAGUCCUCCCAGAAAGAAGUGCGGGAAACCACAGGAACUGAAGUUCUAUAGAAAAAUGUUUUCAGUGAUCAUUAUCUUGACCCAGUGUCUCGCUUCUGACUGUUCUGAUUAAGUGACAGAGAUUAGAGUAAUUUCUUGUGGAUGUGUCUGCUAUUCAAGUUGGGUCCAGGCAAAACGGUCAAUUGUAGUUUUGUUUCCUUGUGUCUUAACCUCCCACAUGGACUCUGUCUUUUUUCUCUCAUCCUUAUCUCCUCUGUGUUUUAUUUAUUAACAAAAGACUGUGCUUUCCAUUAGUUGAAAAAUAAAUUCUUGCAGGCUUGAACUACUUC
Long non-coding RNA from Cavia porcellus (domestic guinea pig), 14523 nucleotides. RefSeq lists it as uncharacterized. The transcript has 4 exons. The record is from RefSeq and is a predicted model, not a curated record. NCBI's taxonomy places the organism in Eukaryota, Metazoa, Chordata, Mammalia, Rodentia, Caviidae.